This 329-nucleotide unclassified non-coding RNA is filed under the name soil metagenome. RNAcentral's name for it is "partial contains 5.8S ribosomal RNA, internal transcribed spacer 2, and large subunit ribosomal RNA". The stretch from base 1 to 120 matches the Rfam family "5.8S ribosomal RNA", at positions 35 to 154 of the family's 154-position model. The record is from RNAcentral.
GAUGAAGAACGCAGCGAAAUGCGAUAAGUAAUGUGAAUUGCAGAAUUCAGUGAAUCAUCGAAUCUUUGAACGCACAUUGCGCCCCCUGGUAUUCCGGGGGGCAUGCCUGUCCGAGCGUCAUUACAACCCUCAAGCUCAGCUUGGUGUUGGGCCCCGCCGCCCCGGCGGGCCCUAAAGUCAGUGGCGGUGCCGUCCGGCUCCGAGCGUAGUAAUUCUUCUCGCUCUGGAGGUCCGGUCGUGUGCUCGCCAGCAACCCCCAAUGUUUUUCAGGUUGACCUCGGAUCAGGUAGGGAUACCCGCUGAACUUAAGCAUAUCAAUAAGCGGAGGA